AUGCCGAACCCUACCGCCGAUCACGUCAACUCACCGUGGACACUGGCCAUCCGCGCUGCCGCAGACCAGGGCCUCCCGCGCCGCGCCAUUGCGCUCUACCUAUCGUCCUUCCGCUCCGGCGCCGCCCACCGCCCCUGCCCCUUCGCCCUCGCGGCCGUCCUCAAGUCCGUCUCCCGCCUCCCCGCCCAUACUGUGGCCACGGCUGCCGCUUCCUUCCACGCUCAUAUUCUUCGCCUAGGCCUCCUCGCGCACCCGUACCCACACGCCGCGCUUGCCAACCUCUAUUCCCGCGACCCCGUCGCUGCGCGCAGCCUGCUCGACGAAACGCCUCCCUCGGGAGCACGGGCGCCGCAUUCCCUACUCGUUUCCCGGAACUCACUGCUCGCCUCACUUCUCCGCUCCGGGGACCUCUCUGCCGCGCGCGCUCUGUUCGACCAGAUGCCCGUGAGGGACAUUGUGUCAUGGAACUCCAUGGUCGCGGGCCUCGCCAAGGCUGGUCGCCUCGACAGCGCCAUCGAGCUCUUCGACCAGAUGCCUGAGCGGAACGCCGCGUCCUGGAAUGCCGUCAUUUGUGGGCUCAUCGCCCAUGGCCACCUGACUCGAGCGAGGGAGAUGUUCGAGCAGAUGCCUGUCAGGAGCAACAUCUCCUGGAUCACGAUGAUCUCCGGGUAUGCCAAGGCUGGCGACGUUCAGGCUGCUGCUGGCCUGUUUGAACGGAUGGAGAACAAGAAUGAUCUUUAUGCGUGGAAUGUGAUGAUUACAUGCUAUGCACAAAAUGGCUGUGCGAGGGAGGCGAUUGGAGUUUUCAACCGGAUGCUCAAGCCUCAUGUCUGUGUUCUGCCCAAUGAGAAAACUUUCUCAUCUGUCAUCUCCGCUUGCUCCCAGCUAGGGAACUUGAGGUUUGGGCUGUGGGUUAAGAGCUUCAUGGGGUCUCUGGGAAUUGAACUGGAUGAUCACUUGCGCACCGCCCUCGUGGAUUUGUACACCAAGAGUGGGCGGAUUGAUAGCGCUUUUGAUUUGUUCAAAGGCCUGAGGACAAGAGACGUGGUAUCUUACAGUGCAAUGAUUGUGGGCUGCGGGAUGAAUGGCAAGUUAAACGAAGCUAUAGGUUUAUUCAAGGAGAUGUCUGACGCAAAUAUUCGUCCUAAUGCAGUGAGCUUUGUGGGAUUGUUGUCUGCAUACAACCAUGCUGGGCUAGUGGAAGAAGCUCGAGCUUGUUUUGCUUCCAUGUCAAGCAAAUAUAAGAUUAGACCUUCAACGGAACACUACACCAUCAUGGUAGAUCUCCUUGGGCGUAGCGGGAAGUUGGAUGAAGCGUUUCAGCUGAUCAGGCAGAUGCCGAUGCAACCACAUGCUAGCGUUUGGGGUGCUUUGCUUCUUUCUUGCAGGUUGCAUAACAAUGUUGAGCUUGGGGAGGUCGUUGCUUCCAAGUGCUUUGAACAGGCGCCUGGAGAGAGUGGAUAUUACAUACUGUUGGGGAACAUAUAUGCACAAGCAAACAAAUGGGACAAGCUUAAGAGGUUAAGGAAGACAAUGAAGGAAAGAGGCUUGAGUAAGAUGCCUGGGAGUAGUUGGGUGCUGGCUGAAUAG
This 1590-nucleotide ribosomal RNA is filed under the name Triticum aestivum (bread wheat). RNAcentral describes it as "partial small subunit ribosomal RNA". Lineage: Eukaryota; Viridiplantae; Streptophyta; Magnoliopsida; Poales; Poaceae. The record is from RNAcentral.